UUCUAGUGGCGGACGGGUGAGUAACGCGUGGGUAACCUGCCUUAUACAGGGGGAUAACAGUCAGAAAUGGCUGCUAAUACCGCAUAAGCGCACAGAGCUGCAUGGCUCAGUGUGAAAAACUCCGGUGGUAUAAGAUGGACCCGCGUUGGAUUAGCUUGUUGGUGGGGUAACGGCCCACCAAGGCGACGAUCCAUAGCCGGCCUGAGAGGGUGAACGGCCACAUUGGGACUGAGACACGGCCCAGACUCCUACGGGAGGCAGCAGUGGGGAAUAUUGCACAAUGGGGGAAACCCUGAUGCAGCGACGCCGCGUGAAGGAAGAAGUAUCUCGGUAUGUAAACUUCUAUCAGCAGGGAAGAUAGUGACGGUACCUGACUAAGAAGCCCCGGCUAACUACGUGCCAGCAGCCGCGGUAAUACGUAGGGGGCAAGCGUUAUCCGGAUUUACUGGGUGUAAAGGGAGCGUAGACGGUGUGGCAAGUCUGAUGUGAAAGGCAUGGGCUCAACCUGUGGACUGCAUUGGAAACUGUCAUACUUGAGUGCCGGAGGGGUAAGCGGAAUUCCUAGUGUAGCGGUGAAAUGCGUAGAUAUUAGGAGGAAC
Molecule: ribosomal RNA, 599 nt
Filed under: uncultured Lachnospiraceae bacterium
Lineage: Bacteria; Bacillati; Bacillota; Clostridia; Lachnospirales; Lachnospiraceae
Description: bacterial SSU rRNA
Rfam family: Bacterial small subunit ribosomal RNA
Source: RNAcentral